UCAGCAAUGAAAAUGCACAGACUACUGAUACACCAACAACAUGGAUGAAUUUCAGAGACAUGAUGCAGAGAAAAAGAAGCCAGACUCAAAAGAGUAUAUACUGAAUGAUUCCAUACUGGCGUUUGCUUUCAGUGAAUAUGAUCAGUGACAGGGAUCCUGAAAGGAGAGCACAAUAAAGCUCUGCAGAAGCCUCCAUCUGCCAAAAUAAGCUCUGGGAGAAGCCAGGUGCCAUGUUGUGAGGACACUGGAGCACCCCUAAGGAGGCCUGUGUUGUGGGAACUGAGGCCUCCUGCCAUCAGCCAGCACCCACUUGCCAGCCAUGUGAAUAAACCAUCUUGGAAGUGGAUCCUCCAGCCCAUUAUGUCCUCAAAUGACAGCAAAUUCAUGAACGACUGUGAGCCAGAACCACCCAGCUAAGUCACUACCAAAUUCUUGACCCACAGAGACUGAGAUAAUACAUAAUAUUUAUUAUUGUUUUAAGCUACUAGGUUUUGGGGGCAUUUUUUACCUAACAAUAGGCAACUAAUAUGGUAGAUG
Molecule: long non-coding RNA, 537 nt
Filed under: Equus caballus (horse)
Lineage: Eukaryota; Metazoa; Chordata; Mammalia; Perissodactyla; Equidae
Description: lncRNA (ENSECAG00000047077.1)
Source: RNAcentral